Molecule: small nuclear RNA, 23 nt
Filed under: Arabidopsis thaliana (thale cress)
Lineage: Eukaryota; Viridiplantae; Streptophyta; Magnoliopsida; Brassicales; Brassicaceae
Description: snRNA_17919
Source: RNAcentral
AUCUUAAAUCCGUAAUUUUUAAU